CGGCAAAAGCUCAAAUUUGAAAUCUGGUACCUUCGGUGCCCGAGUUGUAAUUUGGAGAGGGCAACUUUGGGGCCGUUCCUUGUCUAUGUUCCUUGGAACAGGACGUCAUAGAGGGUGAGAAUCCCGUGUGGCGAGGAGUGCGGUUCUUUGUAAAGUGCCUUCGAAGAGUCGAGUUGUUUGGGAAUGCAGCUCUAAGUGGGUGGUAAAUUCCAUCUAAAGCUAAAUAUUGGCGAGAGACCGAUAGCGAACAAGUACAGUGAUGGAAAGAUGAAAAGAACUUUGAAAAGAGAGUGAAAAAGUACGUGAAAUUGUUGAAAGGGAAGGGCAUUUGAUCAGACAUGGUGUUUUGUGCCCUCUGCUCCUUGUGGGUAGGGGAAUCUCGCAUUUCACUGGGCCAGCAUCAGUUUUGGUGGCAGGAUAAAUCCAUAGGAAUGUAGCUUGCCUCGGUAAGUAUUAUAGCCUGUGGGAAUACUGCCAGCUGGGACUGAGGACUGCGACGUAAGUCAAGGAUGCUGGCAUAAUGGUUAUAUGCCGCCCGUCU
Molecule: ribosomal RNA, 541 nt
Filed under: Saccharomyces cerevisiae (brewer's yeast)
Lineage: Eukaryota; Fungi; Ascomycota; Saccharomycetes; Saccharomycetales; Saccharomycetaceae
Description: partial large subunit ribosomal RNA
Rfam family: Eukaryotic large subunit ribosomal RNA
Source: RNAcentral